GUUUUCAAGCGCCUUUUUGUUUAAAAGUCCAAGAUUUUCAAGCAGGGGUUGCUUACAAAUCUUUCGCCUUUUACUAAAGAUUUCCGUGGAGAGGGGCGUCAACAAGCUCACAAUAUUUUUGGGGGCUCUGUUUUGACAGAGCU
The sequence is a small nuclear RNA, 143 nucleotides long. Its record names the gene U5. It matches the Rfam family "U5 spliceosomal RNA". From Rfam's summary of the family: U5 RNA is a component of both types of known spliceosome. The record is from Ensembl.